This is a non-coding RNA of Cricetulus griseus (Chinese hamster), 279 nucleotides long. The record is from RefSeq and is a predicted model, not a curated record. Lineage: Eukaryota; Metazoa; Chordata; Mammalia; Rodentia; Cricetidae.
GUGGAGAAUAACUGUGUGUGCUUUCCAAUGUGCUGAGGAGAGAAGAUCCUUUAAUUCUUAGUGCUACUGAGAUCUUAACACAACAUGAUAACUCUGGCUAAGUCUGUAACAGAAAGUUACUACCAGCUAAGGACUCAACCAUCUGAUUUCCCCUCACUGCCAUCUUUGACUGGCUACUGUGCCCUACGGAAGCUAAAUGUUUAUACUUUUCUACAUUAAGUUUUAUUUACAUAUAAUGAAAACCUGGAAGGUACAACAAAUAUAAUGAAGGAAAUCUCA